CCUAAUUGCUUUUCAAUUUCACUUGUAUAUGUGUGAUUUUCUUUCGAUUUGGGUUUGAUUUAGAUUUCCAAUUUCACCACUUCUACAAUUUGUUUCGGUCUUUGAUUUGGUAAUUGUUACAGUAUCGUUAGGUUCAUGUGAAUUCAGGAUCAGAAAAAAAACUGUAUGAUUAGAAAUGAGAGAGCUUCCACAAUACCACCACACUUCUCUCGCCAUCCACCAUAACAAACACUAAGCCUUGGUAAGAUACUUUAAUAAGUUUAUUUCUUUAAUUUUUUCCACUUUUGAUCAUAUCUUUCUAACAACAUCUGUGUGUAAUUUCAUAAUUUCUCUGCCAUUGUGAAUUUGAUAUAUGAAUCUCCUCUUUGUAUAAGCUUUAUUUGCCUAAUUGAGACCAAAAUACUAAUUUCCUUUUAAAUUUCUUUGCUUCAAUUAUAUCUUUAUGUAAUGGUGUUAUACACAAAUUACAUGUAGGUGAUUUUUUUUCAGAAUUUCUACUUCGAAGUUUGUCUACCACCUGCUCGAUGAAAUGCUUAAGAGAAACUUAUGUUUUUUUUUUUUUUUCAAUAUACCACUAUGUUUAGCAUUAAAAAUGACGGUGAGGUAUUGUAACCAGACUAUAUUUACAUAAAUUUACUUUCUUGGUUUUUUUUUUUGUGGAAAAUCACUUUCUUCUAUGUAUAGUGCUCUACCAGUGGCAUGAAAUUUGGGGGGAUAAAAUACUUCAGGAGCUUAACAAGGUUAAUACCUUUUAUGGGGACAAAAAUUUAAAGUCCCUGCAAAUGCGAAUGAAUCGGCAAUCAGUUGUUUGUUAAGUUAGUGAAUGAUAUAAGUGAGAUUUAUUUUGGAAAUGUUUAAUUUCAGUUUAUGCUCAAAGUCUCUAAAGGCUAACUUUUUUCACCAGGUUGUUAUUGUUUAUAUUGAUUUGGACAGGUAGGUAAAUCCAUAAUUUAUAUCAUUAAAUGGUUUUUACUCUGUUGGCACAAUUUCUAAUUUUUGUCUUACCUUUGUUAUAUAAUGUUGUCACUCUAUUGUUUAGGCUGUAGUAUGCUUUUUGGCACAUUAUGAUUUGUUUAUUCUUCAUUUCUUUGAUAGUUUAUCUCAUAAGUUCAACUUAAUAGGUUAUUCCUGAUUUGACUAAUGUUAUAUACUUAUGUAGAAUUUAUAAGCUGCAUUGUUAUCUGUUGCUUACUACUAUUUGAUAUUAUUUUUAUAAUUGUGUUUUUUUUGGAUACCUUUUCAGCUUUUCAUCAAGUUUUUACGUAUUUUUUCUUAUUGAUAUCACAUAAUAUGUUACUAAUGAAAGUAUGUUACUAUUUCCUUCUGCAGGUUUUACGAUUCAUCAUGCAACAAAACCCGAAGAAACAAUGAAAAAAUGAUUAUCCAUGAUGACAAGGGACUGCAAUUGUUUCUAUAAAAUCAUGGUUUCUGCUUCUUUCAAAAUAAACAUUCCAAAUUACUUUUGGACCACAAGAAAUAACAAUCUCUUUCAUGGCAAAAUACAUAAAAGCUACUAUAUUUUGGUCUUUUUUGUACACAACUAUAUGAAUAUGAUGUUUCUUCAAAUCAAAUCACUGCUCUAUCUAUCCUCGAUCCUCAUUACAGUUUUUUUUGCUGUUCAAAUUGAUUUAUGAAUGGUUAAAUCAGUCAACCAAAUUCCAUUCCGAUUUGAACCAAACCAAGUUACAAUUUGAUUAUCAAAACAUUUUAAUAUAAACCAAGACAAAUGCUAAAACCUAUAGCCUUGCAACUCAGGUGAGACUAUAUUUUGUAAAUUUACAAUGAUUAAUUUUUUUUUUUUUUAAUUUUCUAAUAAAAAGGAUUUAUAUGUAGGAUUUUAUGGUAAAGGACGAAGCAAUUCAUACAAACCAUUCAUCUUCCGACCACUACAGGGAUAAUAUUUUUUUUUUUAUUGUUUAUAAAUUUGAGCAGGUUUUAACAAUUUAAGCAAUACAUUUUCGUUUCUUUUUCAGUGAUAAAGGGUAAUUUCGGAAUACAAAAUUCACCAACGGAUUCCAUUCUAAAAUCCGAAUGGCAAAAUUACUUCUUUGGCAACACUUUUGGAAGCGAGUUGAAACCGUAGAUAAAUUUGAAGAUUUUUCAAAAUCUUUCAUAGACGAGGAAGAUGAAGAAGGGAACCUCCCACCCCAGUUUGCACAAACCAGAAUGGAAUUAACCCCUUUUUGUCAACAUCAAAUAAUCACUAACUCUGUUCAAGAACAUGGUGUGGAUUUUAGUAAAGCCAUUCAAGUACCUUUUAUCUCUCAAUGCCCAACAGAAUAUCAAAAACUCAGUCUACCAAAUUCGGUAAAUUACACAAAUACCCCUUAACUAUUUUUUUAAAGACUUUGGGCUUAUGAUAAAGUUUAUAUCUUCUUACUUCAAAACAUGAAAACCUGAUUGAGUGUUAUUCAAGUGGUUCUGAAGAUGAUUCUGUGAGAAUUUAAACAUUACUAAAAUGUUGUCUUUACCUUCCACAAUCUUUAAAUUUUUAGGAAACAUUCGGGUUUACUGCAGGAUUAGACCUACAUUUCAUUUAGAACUGAUACAAAGAACGUGAUUGAUUACAUUUGGAGAAGAUAGGUCAUUAGUGGUUUUAGAGCCUUUAAAACAUCAUAAAGAUGGAAAAAAGUUGUUUCGAACCGCGUUUUGAGUCCAACCGGUACUCAAGGUAAUAAUAAAAUUCAAACAUUUUUCCAGAAUUAGAACCUUCUGUUGACUAAUGUUUUGACUGUUAUUAGAGGAGGUUUUUUGCUAACAAGAGAAAAAAAACGAACACAGUGCCAACGGCGCGCAUGAUUUCUUCUAGUUAUUGAUGAUUUGUUUAACUACAAUCAAAAGAUAAAACGUUUGAAGAAAUGGAAAAUAAAGAAAAAAAGAAGAAGAAGAAGCUUUCGUCUAAAAUUGUAAUAAUUUGGAAUUCUAAUUUUUUGAUAACGGUAAAAAAAUAGAUGUAAGUGAGAUAUUCAAUAUUCGUAUUGGUUUGAAAAUGCCAAUAAUAUUUUUAUUUGUUUGUGUAAUUGUUUAAAGUGAUACAUACAUUUAUGUAUCAUUUUCAACAAUUAGACCAUUAAAAUGAUAUUGUUAGUAUUUCCAAAUUCAUUUUUCUUACGUUAUAUAAAAAUAAAAUCAUGUUUAUAUAAUAAGUUAAUGAGUUGAAAUAAAGUAACUCAACAUAUGCGUAACAUUUUCUUAAUUGAGUUUCAUUUUGUUUUUC
This 3217-nucleotide long non-coding RNA is filed under the name Lactuca sativa (garden lettuce). Its description in RNAcentral is "long non-coding RNA (LSAT_LNC007357)". The record is from RNAcentral. Lineage: Eukaryota; Viridiplantae; Streptophyta; Magnoliopsida; Asterales; Asteraceae.